Dermacentor silvarum is the source of this 6950-nucleotide long non-coding RNA. RefSeq lists it as uncharacterized. The record is from RefSeq and is a predicted model, not a curated record. The transcript is spliced from 4 exons. Lineage: Eukaryota; Metazoa; Arthropoda; Arachnida; Ixodida; Ixodidae.
CGACGCGGGUACCCGCGCGGGAAGAGGGAAGGUGUCCGACGGGCGAGGAGGACAUUCCCCUCGCGAAAAGGUAAAAAGGUAUAAAAGAGCGCGACCGAGAGACCCCUGGGGUUCUCUGACCUCGCUACACCUGACCUUCCCCUACGGAUUUACCCGCUGCAACCCGAUCAAGUCAUUCUUCCUCUCCAACAACUGCUGAAAAUGAGAAGUUGCAGUAGGGACACCUCCGCCACUGUGACUUCUUUGACUACAAAACUGAAAAACUGUUAUGUCUGAAAGCACACAGAAGGGCCCACACAGGCGAGCAUCUUCAUUCUUCCUCUCCAACUGUCGAGUAUGACAAGUCACACCAAGGACGCCUCCACCGCUGUGAUUUCUGUGACUAUGAAACUAAAAGGCUGUUUGAUCUGAAAAAACAUAACAGGGUCCACACAGGCGAGCGUCCAUUUCAGUGCCAUUUGUGCCCUCAGAGUUGCUCGCAAAAGUCCAAGUUGAAGGAACACCUGCGCAUCCACACAGGCGAGAAGCCAUUUCAGUGCCCUUCAUGCCCACUGAGCUUCUCACAAAGGCACAGCCUGAAUGAUCAUUUGUGCAUCCACUCAGGUGAACGGCAGUAUCAGUGCCCUUUGUGCCCUCUGACUUUUGUGAAUAGCUACCGCCUGAAGAGGCACACACGCACCCACACGGGCGAGCGACCAUACCGCUGCUUCGUCUGCUCCAGGUCAUUUGUGCAGUCUUUUGACUUUGACAGACACAUGAAAAAACACCACCAUUACACCAAUCAGUAGGUCACCAGAGAGGUAGGUGUGCAUUAUAUAUUAGUCUAACUAUGAAUCUACUCUUGCAUAAUAUACUGCAUGGUGUUCUGGUGCAUCAGGAAGCAAGUGUUGUGCUUUGUUCUUAUAUGUUGAACUGCUAGAUGAUUUGGCAGGAUGUUCCAGCAUAACCUAACAAGUUGUCGGGACAUUUGUUGUAGUGACAUUGCUUGCAUUACAGUAGCCAUGUACUUAUGGUAUGCCAUCAUGUGAAAGCACAACCAGUUAGCAGCGGUCAUCUGUCGACUAUGCCUUUAAAACAUAUGUGUGUGCAGUAAAAUAGUCAUGAUAAAUUCUAAAUGUUAGGCCAAUGAUCAAUGCUUGUUGUGUCCUCCAAAUAUACUGCUGCCUAAGUGAACAGAGUUAAAAAAAUGCAGCAGAUUGAACGAGUUGGAAUCUUGUAUAUACAGUGAAGCUUUAUGUGAGUGCAUAAAGAGUGAAAACAUGAGCACACGCACACAGGCAGACAGACAGAGAGGGAGAGCACGGGUGUGCACGUGCACGCAUGUGUGCGCACACACAGAAACAAUGCGUGCACACACACAGAAAAAAGCGCAGGCACACAAAUUAUGCUGAGCCUUUUGUUAAGGAGAGUUGCUGACUACUAGCGAGUACAACGGAUGCCUUGAACACAUCGUGGUUUCAGAGGCAGCAUGUGCAUACAUACGUAGUGCAAUUCGAAUUUUAUCUGCAAGGAGUGUUUACUUCCUCAUUACCGUGUAGCCGCAGAUGUGCGAAGGCACGCUUUCUGGUUCUUUUUUUUUUUCUAUCCCCGGUACGGCCGGCGCCACUGCAGACAUCAGCAUCUGCAAAUCAUGUCAUUUAAAACAGGAAGAGCUGCAACGGUAGCAGCAGUGUGGUUCUAUUAUGCUAAAACACACUAAUGGAAUUUGAAUGAAACUAUCAGUACAAAACAGGCUCCGUGCGAGUUUUACUUUGAGUGAUGGUGAGCGCUAGUAACGAUGCAUGCCGUAUGUAUGACAGUGCUGUUGGCAGAUGAGGCAAAAUAAAAGCUCCUUAUUGAGCAGCCCUGCCCUGCCUUCAUGCCGUUACCUUUUUGACGUAUGGUCGUUACUCUUUUGACGAAUGGUAAUGGCUACAAAAUACAGACGCUGUGGUUUCACUAGCAACAUGUUUCUUUACCUAAUACUACCAUGACCAUGAUAACGUGCUGAUUCCGACAGAAAUCGCUCAUUGAGUCCCAAUAUGAAGUUUGCUUGAUUCCGUGCUCAAAAUAAAACCUAUCAUAACUUCAGCUGAAAGCCUGUGCACUUGAGGAGUCCCGUCGCAGGGACUGACAAACAGUCAGUCGGCAUUUCUGAUGUGACAAUCAGCCUAGUGUUCUGUUGCUCCUUGCACCAUGCCUUACUGCAUUGUGGUUGCCCAAACUACUGCUCCAGCCAUCUUCAUGGCAAACUAAUUUAAUGGCGGACACAGCAGAAACAAGCUCCUUGAAAAAAUAUAAAUUCCACUUUUGCUAUAAAAUGUGUUGUGUUCUCGAGUGUGCAAGACACAGUGGAGGCCAUUUAGCGCAGUUUACGAAUCACGAGCCUCAGUGAUUCAUUGGAUGACGUCGCAAUCCUCUUAACCAAUUAGAGCCCAUUAACCAACCCGUGGUGUCUCUCGCAGCCGCUGCUGCUCAUCUUUGUUAAAGAAAUGUGACUUCUGGUGAUUUGUAGCCAGCUAAAAGGGUAUUUUUGUAUUUGGGGAGGGAAAAACUAAUAUUUUGCUAAAAGCUCAAAUUUUUCAAGAAAAGCUUCAGUUUCCCUUUAAGCAAUAUGGCUGCAUUCGAAGAACAACCUAUUUCAUAAUCUUGUUGGCAUCUUUUUCUCUGCAUUCACCACUACUUUGCUGCAUACAAUGAUUUGAAAGUGAGAGAUGUCCAGCAAUCCUGUCUCAUGUUUACGUCAUUUUGUCACUUGCAUAUCGUCUCAACAAAACACACCUUGCAACUCUCAUUUAUUGCGUCUAACUUGACUAUGUACUUGUCUUUUUCCCCCUCUUGAAACACGGGGUAAUCUGUAAGAUUGCACCAUGCCAUAGUAUUCAGCGUAGUGACAAAAGAAUGAUAUGAAAACAAUAAUUGAAAUUGUGGUCCUCAGCACCAGUACCAUGUGGCUUCUUGGUCAUAGCAGUGCUUAUUCCACACUUCAUUCCAGAUAACACCUCUACCGUGGCUUCCAUCCAAUAUCUAUCCGUAAAAUGUAUUGGCUGGCUUCAAACUCUAAAAGCUUAUUGUAGCGCCUGUUCUCUACACUACUUUAGGGCUAGGGUGAACUUCUUCACUGUGUCAAUUUUCCUGCAGGUGCUUCUAUGAUUCUGCUGUUCAGUUUGAGGUACCUUUAUUCUUUAUACAUUUAGAUAUACUGUCAUGCUAUCUUGUCCUUUUUGCUGCUGACUCUGUCAGUACAUUAUGGUAGCAUGUGGAACUUAUUCAGUCAUAUGAGUUAUGCUAUGCAAAGUUUUAUAAGGUAUUGCAUGCACAGCCUUUGUCAAAGGAAGUGAAGACAAUAGGAGCACGAGUGCUGCCUCGUCUUUGAGGAAUUCUCAGUGCUGGAAAGCUGUGAGGAGUGAGUACUCUCUGAUGCUUUGACUGAUGCCAACACAGCAGGAGGCCGACAAGACAUUUCGUAUUCAGCUGCUAUCAGUAACAUGGUGAUUCUCUUUCUUUCGGCAAAGGCUGUGCAUAUUGUAUUUUGCCUUGCAGCUGGCGUGAGAAGUUGAUUCUUGGCAGCACUGUUCUCCAUUUUUUUUCUACCUGCAUGUGUAUCACCAGUAAAUUAACAAUGCUAUGUUCGCAUUCCCACUAUGUAGCAAAUUUAGAAUCUGUGAUGACUUUUGUUCAUGGCUGUACCUUUGUGAAUUUUCCUUCAUCACUCACUGUAGCUGGUGCCGUCAGUACUUUUUACAGGCGCGUGGUAAUAUAGGAUGUUUUAUGUUCGUCUCACAUUUUUGUUGUCUAUUUAAAAUGUGUACUCUUCCUUGGAGCUUUAUUUCUUAUUACUCUGUUUGAGCCAUGUCACAUUCUUCUUGGAUGCAAGCAUUCCUUUACAGUAAUUGAAUAAUUUUGGUUCAGUUAGAAUUCAUUUCACACAGUCUUUUUUGGAGCAUUGUAAAAAUCAGGGUGCUUUGUGAAUGUACUGUUAAGCAUUGUUUAUAUGUUGUUUUUUGCUCGCACCUAUACAAGUAACCUUCUUUGCAAUUGUCUGUUGAUAAACUCAAUCUUUCUCUUUCUUAGUUCUACUAUCCUUAGCAUUUUUAUUCUGUUAGAUCCUCCAAGAGAAUUUCAGUGAUGGCAUUUGGAAGUUUCAAUUGCUAUUGCCAUUGAAAGCACUUGCUAUGACAGAUAUUUAUCAGAAACUUAGAUUGUAUGCCAGUUCUUAAGACCCAUGUGCUUUCUUGAUUCCGACAUUUGUUCAUGUAAGACACCGGCAAUUCUGAAGCCACUGGUGCUACAUUUUUCUCUAGUACAGAGUUCACACAGAUUCUUAAAGGCUUGAAAAUUCUUUAAAUUGAAAAUCACAUUUUCAGUGCCUUGAAUGCCCUGGAAUUUUGAUGGUUCCUUAACCAUUCUUAAAUUCUCCUUUAACAGUUACAGUCGUUGAAUGAAUAAUCAGACUUGCAGAGGGUCACCAAAAUUUGAAAAUGAGGAGUCCAGAAAACUACCUUUAUUCUGUAAGUUGCUGGGAAAAUUUGUCAGUGCAUUAUCAUAUGCACCUGCCCUGAUGCAUGACAUGUCAGUAUGUAUUCUGCACAAUGGUAUGAUAAAAAUAUUUGCAAUCCCUAGCACCAAAUUCGUAGUCAAUGGCUGUGUUUUAAGUGGCAUGCCAUGCUCGCAUUUUGCAUGUCAUGGCUCUCAAACACUUUGUGGGCAGUCUCCUUGUUGCCAUAGGGAGAAAAAUUUGCAACAGCAGACCAUACUCGGAAAUUGUCUGUGACCAUUGACGUAGCCAGGGAAGGGGUUUGGGGGGGUCGAAACCCCCCUCCCCCUGAAAUUUUCUGACAAACCCACUCCCUUUCCCACGGAACAGAAAGUUUCAGGAGAUGGGCUCCUAAAGAGCGACAUGAAUAAAAGGGAAAGCUUGAAUGUGAAAGAACGGCGAGGGCUAGUGGCAGACCAAAAGUGUUUGGGGGGGGGGAGGCGUUGUCAUGGGGGCAAUCCCCUCUCCCAUGCACGGAACAUUGCGGCCCCACUCAUGGUGUGCCUCUGCCUCAUUCUGGAUCGUGUUAACUAUAACUGCUGAGGGGUAUCAGUGCUGAAACUUGCAUACAGAUAAAAAUGGGACGAGCGCGUGCAUAAAACUUAGGGGCAUUGUCUAUCCCCACCAGGCCUUCGUGUCGUCGAAGAGCGUCUCACUUCUGGUACUUGACAGAAUCGUCGGCCACGCUUCGCGAAAGAAAAGCAUUCUGAAAGUAUUGCGACUUGCUUAUCUAGGCAAUGCAUAAUAAGCACACCUCCCCCCCCCCCUUUUUUUUUUUCUUUUUCUGUCCCUUGUCUCUGACUUUCAUUGCCAUUAUCCGUGUUAUUUCUCCCCUUCUGCAUAAACAAAAAUAAUCUGUGUUCGUUUUAUAACACAUGAGGGAAAAAAAAUGAUGCUAGAGAUCCAUCACCCUAAAAGAAAGAGAAAAAGACACUGAAAGGGUUAAAUGCUCUCUUAAUUAAUAACUAUAAAAUGCUCUUCCACCACUUCAGAUUUAUUCAGUAUUUGGUUUUUGUAUCUGUCAUGAAACAAUAAUCUGGCAAAGAUAGUACCUUGCCAUAAGAUACAAACUGGGGAAGCUAAACUGAUAUAAAAACAUGAAUUGAAAUUUCGGUCCUCAGUACUUUUUAUGGUGCAUGAUGGGAUGUUAUCUUUUUCUAUUAGACCCAUGUUUUGUCGCCUCUAGGUUCCAGUGCUACUGUUCCUUGUGGAGUUCUUAUCUUUUAUUGUAUAUUCAGUUUGAGCUUUAUUUUCUUCUAGCUCAUAAAUGUUCCUUUACAGCAAUUGAGUACUUAACCUUGCUUAAAAAUUCAAUUCACACUGUGUCUCUGAAAACUAAGUAAAUUACUGUUUUUGAAACCUGCAUUGUUAAUUGUUGUUGAUAUGUUAAUGCAUGCACUAAUGGCAUAUAAUCAUCCUUUUAUAUUAACAGUUUAUUGUGUUGGAUGCUAAAAGCGGUGAUGGAACUUGAAUCCUCUUUAUUUUUGCCAUGAAAUGCGCUUUUGUGAAAAAUUCAUCAGCAAUUCAAAUUUUGAGCUUCGUGUUAUGAUCUAUGUUCUUAUUUCAUUCUGCUUUACUCAUUAUGUUUAUACUGUGUAAUAAUGCACAUUAUUGGACAAAGUUAAACAUGUGAGCACAUUAGCACUAUAAGCCCAGUGGACCAUUUAUAUAUUGCGUGGAGUACUAGAUGAUUCAUUACAUAAUUUAUUUUUAUGCUCUGCAGUGCCUGUUGUGUUAUUCUUUUGUGUGGUAAAAGCAAUGGAGUACUAUGGCCUAUCGUUAGUUGUAUUCUCUACCAUGGACAUGAACGUGGAGUGCAUUGAUGGAGCGCAUUUCUUGUUCCAAGUUGAGCUACCUAUUGCAUUGCAAAUCACAUACUUGGUUGACUUUUUUUUUUUUUUUGCAAAGUGUGCAUAAUCUUAUUCUUCAGUGUUCAUUAUCAAUCUAUGUCGUUGUUUGUAGGUUAUUGAUGUCUUGCAUGCUUGGUAAACAAACAGUGACUCAUUAAAGCAACUCAGAUGUUGAAAAUAAACAAGUGGAAAUGCUGAAUCAGAAUCUGACCAUACUACGGAGACAUAGUGAUCAUUGAGCAUUGCUGGGUGUUCUAAGCAUCAUGUAUGUAGUAAAUAGCUUAGGUGACAAAUUACCAGCGUAAAACCACGAAAAACUUGUCAAAACAAAGCAUGCUCGACCAAGAAGAUCUGGUCUCAAUUCAACACAUUGUGCAAGUGUGCUCCUUGUAGCCUCAGAAUUGUAUGUUAACGCUUUCACUUGAAACAAAAAAUGUGUGGGGGGAGGCCUUGGUUUUGUAACGUUAGUGCAAAGGGGUGACCUCACAUUUGUAAGUUUGCGUUUUGUACAAUCAUGUGGUUGAGGAGAUUGUACUUAUCCAGGAGAGUGUUUAUUUUGGCAUUCCGCUGAAAACAUCACUUGG